This 397-nucleotide ribosomal RNA is filed under the name uncultured bacterium. Its description in RNAcentral is "partial 16S ribosomal RNA". It matches the Rfam family "Bacterial small subunit ribosomal RNA", at positions 360 to 774 of the family's 1533-position model. The record is from RNAcentral.
AAUCUUGCGCCAUGGGCGAAAGCCCGACGCAGCCACGUCGCGGGAAUGAUGAAGGUCUUAGGAUUGUAAAAUCCUUUUACCGGGGACGAUAAUGACGGUACCCGGAGAAGAAGCCCCGGCUAACUUCGGGCCAGCAACCGCGGUAAUACGAAGGGGGCUAGCGUUGCUCGGAAUUACUGGGCGUAAAGGGCGCGUAGGCGGGUCGUUAAGUCAGGGGUGAAAUCCCGGGGCUCAACCCCGGAACUGCCCUUGAUACUGGCGAUCUUGAGUAUGAGAGAGGUAUGUGGAACUCCGAGUGUAGAGAUGAAAUUCGUAGAUAUUCGGAAGAACACCAGUGGCGAAGGCGACAUACUGGCUCAUUACUAACGCUGGGGCGCGAAAGCGUGGGGAGCAAACA